Molecule: ribosomal RNA, 464 nt
Filed under: Vreelandella stevensii
Lineage: Bacteria; Pseudomonadati; Pseudomonadota; Gammaproteobacteria; Oceanospirillales; Halomonadaceae
Description: partial 16S ribosomal RNA
Rfam family: Bacterial small subunit ribosomal RNA
Source: RNAcentral
CCUACGGGUGGCAGCAGUGGGGAAUAUUGGACAAUGGGCGAAAGCCUGAUCCAGCCAUGCCGCGUGUGUGAAGAAGGCCUUCGGGUUGUAAAGCACUUUCAGUGGGGAAGAAAGCCUUGGGGCUAAUACCCUCGAGGAAGGACAUCACCCACAGAAGAAGCACCGGCUAACUCCGUGCCAGCAGCCGCGGUAAUACGGAGGGUGCGAGCGUUAAUCGGAAUUACUGGGCGUAAAGCGCGCGUAGGCGGUCUGAUAAGCCGGUUGUGAAAGCCCCGGGCUCAACCUGGGAACGGCAUCCGGAACUGUCAGGCUAGAGUGCAGGAGAGGAAGGUAGAAUUCCCGGUGUAGCGGUGAAAUGCGUAGAGAUCGGGAGGAAUACCAGUGGCGAAGGCGGCCUUCUGGACUGACACUGACGCUGAGGUGCGAAAGCGUGGGUAGCAAACAGGAUUAGAUCCCUAGUAGUC